AGUGAACGCUGGCGGUAGGCCUAACACAUGCAAGUCGAACGGCAGCACAGUAAGAGCUUGCUCUUACGGGUGGCGAGUGGCGGACGGGUGAGGAAUACAUCGGAAUCUACUUUUUCGUGGGGGAUAACGUAGGGAAACUUACGCUAAUACCGCAUACGACCUACGGGUGAAAGCAGGGGAUCUUCGGACCUUGCGCGAUUGUAUGAGCCGAUGUCGGAUUAGCUAGUUGGCGGGGUAAAGGCCCACCAAGGCGACGAUCCGUAGCUGGUCUGAGAGGAUGAUCAGCCACACUGGAACUGAGACACGGUCCAGACUCCUACGGGAGGCAGCAGUGGGGAAUAUUGGACAAUGGGCGCAAGCCUGAUCCAGCCAUACCGCGUGGGUGAAGAAGGCCUUCGGGUUGUAAAGCCCUUUUGUUGGGGAAGAAAAGCAGCAGGUUAAUACCCCGCUGUUCUGACGGUACCCAAAGAAUAAGCACCGGCUAACUUCGUG
RNAcentral lists this ribosomal RNA (492 nucleotides) under uncultured bacterium. RNAcentral describes it as "partial 16S ribosomal RNA". It matches the Rfam family "Bacterial small subunit ribosomal RNA", at positions 29 to 507 of the family's 1533-position model. The record is from RNAcentral.